This 220-nucleotide ribosomal RNA is filed under the name uncultured bacterium. RNAcentral's name for it is "partial 16S ribosomal RNA". It matches the Rfam family "Bacterial small subunit ribosomal RNA", at positions 1281 to 1500 of the family's 1533-position model. The record is from RNAcentral.
AUAGGUCUCAGUUCGGAUUGUAGGCUGNAACCCGCCUGCAUGAAGUUGGAAUUGCUAGUAAUCGCGGAUCAGCAUGCCGCGGUGAAUACGUUCCCGGGCCUUGUACACACCGCCCGUCACACCAUGGGAGCCGGUAAUACCCGAAGUCAGUAGCCUAACCGCAAGGAGGGCGCUGCCGAAGGUAGGAUUGGCGACUGGGGUGAAGUCGUAACAAGGUAUC